RNAcentral lists this ribosomal RNA (492 nucleotides) under uncultured bacterium. Its description in RNAcentral is "partial 16S ribosomal RNA". It matches the Rfam family "Bacterial small subunit ribosomal RNA", at positions 29 to 507 of the family's 1533-position model. The record is from RNAcentral.
AGUGAACGCUGGCGGUAGGCCUAACACAUGCAAGUCGAACGGCAGCACAGUAAGAGCUUGCUCUUACGGGUGGCGAGUGGCGGACAGGUGAGGAAUACAUCGGAAUCUACUUUUUCGUGGGGGAUAACGUAGGGAAACUUACGCUAAUACCGCAUACGACCUACGGGUGAAAGCAGGGGAUCUUCGGACCUUGCGCGAUUGAGUGAGCCGAUGUCGGAUUAGCUAGUUGGCGGGGUAAAGGCCCACCAAGGCGACGAUCCGUAGCUGGUCUGAGAGGAUGAUCAGCCACACUGGAACUGAGACACGGUCCAGACUCCUACGGGAGGCAGCAGUGGGGAAUAUUGGACAAUGGGCGCAAGCCUGAUCCAGCCAUACCGCGUGGGUGAAGAAGGCCUUCGGGUUGUAAAGCCCUUUUGUUGGGAAAGAAAAGCAGCAGGUUAAUACCCCGCUGUUCUGACGGUACCCAAAGAAUAAGCACCGGCUAACUUCGUG